CUCAUUCCACUGCUUUUGAUCCUGUGUUUGCUCAUUCUCUACGGAGCGAGCAACGCUUCUUCUUCCCAACCCAAGCAAGAUCUAAAGAACUUCGAAGAAAACUUUGAAGAGAGCUUGGAAGAGGAAACAGCAACCGGCGCGGAGAAAGUCACGCAAGUUCCUCUCAACUGGCGACUCUCAUCGAGGAAACUGAGGCUCAGAUUUCCUAGGAAAUCGGGAGGGACGAAGCUCGAGUGACAAUCUUCUUCUGCUUGAUAGUACAUCUAGAAACUACAUAUAUGAACAGUUAUCUCUUCUUCC
Molecule: long non-coding RNA, 300 nt
Organism: Selaginella moellendorffii
Lineage: Eukaryota; Viridiplantae; Streptophyta; Lycopodiopsida; Selaginellales; Selaginellaceae
Exons: 2
Source: RefSeq, a predicted model, not a curated record